CCUACGGGUGGCAGCAGUGGGGAAUAUUGCGCAAUGGGCGAAAGCCUGACGCAGCGACGCCGCGUGAGGGAUGAAGGUCUUCGGAUCGUAAACCUCUGUCAGCAGGGAAGAACGGUCACUGUACUAAUCAGCAGUGAAUUGACGGUACCUGCACAGGAAGCACCGGCUAACUCCGUGCCAGCAGCCGCGGUAAUACGGAGGGUGCGAGCGUUAAUCGGAAUUACUGGGCGUAAAGCGCUCGUAGGCGGUAUGUCAAGUCAAGGGUGAAAUGCCCGGGCUCAACGUGGGCACUGCCUUUGAAACUGGCAAACUGGAGUGUGUGAGAGGAUAGCGGAAUUCCAGGUGUAGGAGUGAAAUCCGUAGAUAUCUGGAGGAACACCAGUGGCGAAGGCGACUAUCUGGCACAUAACUGACGCUGAGGAGCGAAAGCGUGGGUAGCAAACAGGAUUAGAUACCCGGGUAGUC
RNAcentral lists this ribosomal RNA (465 nucleotides) under uncultured bacterium. RNAcentral describes it as "partial 16S ribosomal RNA". It matches the Rfam family "Bacterial small subunit ribosomal RNA", at positions 338 to 795 of the family's 1533-position model. The record is from RNAcentral.